GGUAGUCAUUUCGUCGAUGAAGAUCCCAAUCAACGUCGUAAUUAAUUGUUUUUAAAUCUAAUUUUCAUUGUAAUUAUCGUUUCUAAUUAAUAUUAUAUGAAAUUAUAUUUUUUAUUUCAUUUAUAAAGUUUACUAAAAUUAAUAUGUAAUCAUCGAUUAAAAAAUUUAUUCUUAAUAAAUUUAUUGUAACUAUCAUUAAUUUUCUUUUUUAUUAAAAGUAUUACGUAACAAUUAAAAAAAUUGAAACUUCUCUUUUUUUAAAUUAAUUUCGAAAUAU
RNAcentral lists this long non-coding RNA (277 nucleotides) under Lathyrus oleraceus (garden pea). RNAcentral describes it as "Pisum sativum (pea) long non-coding RNA (PSAT_LNC017317)". Lineage: Eukaryota; Viridiplantae; Streptophyta; Magnoliopsida; Fabales; Fabaceae. The record is from RNAcentral.